UGAUCAGUAAGGCUACUGGCUAUAUUCCAGGACUCAUCUGGUCCUGGGUAUAACCAAAGCAUGACUAUACG
Rattus norvegicus (Norway rat) is the source of this 71-nucleotide non-coding RNA. The record is from Rfam. Lineage: Eukaryota; Metazoa; Chordata; Mammalia; Rodentia; Muridae.